ACAGGAAGCUAAAGCGGAAAAGGAAACACGAAUGAGAAUAGCAUUAACUACACUCAAAAAAGAUGAUGCCUCAAUGUUGAAUCGAAACUUGACAGAAGAAAUGCACGCAAUGUUGAAAAAUAAAACAAUUAAAUUUUAUGGACCUGAAAUGGACAGAAAUUUAAAAGUAUAUAAGAAUUAUGAGUUGUUAUGCAACAAACAGAUAAUGUAUUCAGAGGGAUACUGUAAAUAUCUAGGAUAUCCCUACAUCGGAUUUUACUACCGACCAAUCAAAAUCGAGUUCAUCAAUAAAUCACCAAGGAUAUUAGUUAUUCAUGACAUAAUCAAUAUGGAUGUGAUAAGUCAUUUUACUGCAAAAUCUUUUCAACUUUCAAGAUCUGAAGUAUUAAAUUUGAAAGGCAGCACCAUUAAUGAUAGUAGUGUCCAGUCUGAACACAGAACAAG
Molecule: long non-coding RNA, 444 nt
Organism: Mytilus californianus (California mussel)
Lineage: Eukaryota; Metazoa; Mollusca; Bivalvia; Mytilida; Mytilidae
Exons: 4
Source: RefSeq, a predicted model, not a curated record